UUGCCCUAGUAACGGCGAGUGAAGCGGCAACAGCUCAAAUUUGAAAUCUGGCUUCGGCCCGAGUUGUAAUUUGUAGAGGAAGCUUUUGGCAAGGCACCGACUGAGUCCCCUGGAACGGGGCGCCAUAGAGGGUGAGAGCCCCGUAUAGUCGGACGCUGAGCCUCUGUAAAGCUCCUUCGACGAGUCGAGUAGUUUGGGAAUGCUGCUCAAAAUGGGAGGUAAAUUUCUUCUAAAGCUAAAUACCGGCCAGAGACCGAUAGCGCACAAGUAGAGUGAUCGAAAGAUGAAAAGCACUUUGAAAAGAGGGUUAAAUAGCACGUGAAAUUGUUGAAAGGGAAGCGCUUGUGACCAGACUUGCGCCUGGCCGAUCAUCCGGGGUUCUCCCCGGUGCACUCGGCCAGGCUCAGGCCAGCAUCGGUUCUCUUGGGGGGACAAAGGUCCCGGGAACGUAGCUCCCUCCGGGGAGUGUUAUAGCCCGGGGCGUAAUGCCCUCGAGGGGACCGAGGACCGCGCUUCGGCAAGGAUGCUGGCGUUACGGUCAUCAGCGACCCGUCUUGAAACACGGACCAAGGAGUCAAGGUUUUGCGCGAGUGUUUGGGUGUAAAACCCGCACGCGUAAUGAAAGUAAACGUAGGUGAGAGCUUCGGCGCAUCAUCGACCGGCCCAGAUGUUCUCGGAAGGGCCUGAGUAGGAGCGUUAAGCCUUGGACCCGAAAGAUGGUGAACUAUGCUUGGAUAGGGUGAAGCCAGAGGAAACUCUGGUGGAGGCUCGCAGCGGUUCUGACGUGCAAAUCGAUCGUCAAAUCUGAGCAUGGGGGGCGAAAGACUAAUCGA
RNAcentral lists this ribosomal RNA (833 nucleotides) under Cladorrhinum yunnanense. Its description in RNAcentral is "Cladorrhinum sp. YP-2020a partial large subunit ribosomal RNA". It matches the Rfam family "Eukaryotic large subunit ribosomal RNA", at positions 75 to 938 of the family's 3401-position model. Lineage: Eukaryota; Fungi; Ascomycota; Sordariomycetes; Sordariales; Podosporaceae. The record is from RNAcentral.